AGGACUAACGCUGGCGGCGUGCCUAACACAUGCAAGUCGAACGGGGUAGCAAUACCCAGUGGCAGACGGGUGAGUAACACGUGGUCAACCUACCUCUAUAUGGGGGAUAACUAGCCGAAAGGUUAGCUAAUACCACAUACGAUCGCUUUGGGGCAUCCCUAGGCGAUGAAAGGAGCAAUCCGCAUAGAGAGGGGACUGCGUCCCAUUAGUUAGUUGGUGGGGUAACGGCCUACCAAGACUCCGAUGGGUAGCUGGCUUGAGAGAGCGACCAGCCACACUGGAACUGAGACACGGUCCAGACUCCUAUGGAAGGCAGCAGUGAGGAAUUUUCCGCAAUGGGCGAAAGCCUGACGGAGCGACGCCGCGUGUGGGAAGAAGGCCUUCGGGUCGUAAACCACUGUCGAAGGGGACGAUAAUGACGGUACCCUUGGAGGAAGCCCCGGCUAACUACGCGCCAGCAGCCGC
Molecule: ribosomal RNA, 465 nt
Filed under: uncultured bacterium
Lineage: Bacteria
Description: SSU rRNA
Rfam family: Bacterial small subunit ribosomal RNA
Source: RNAcentral